CCCUUAGAUGUUCUGGGCCGCACGCGCGCUACACUGAUUCAUGCAACAAGUUUUGUCCUUGGCUGAUAGGCCUGGGUAAUCUUUGAACGUGAAUCGUGAUGGGGAUAGAUGAUUGCAAUUAUUCAUCUUCAACGAGGAAUUCCUAGUAAACGCAAGUCAUCAGCUUGCAUUGAUUACGUCCCUGCCCUUUGUACACACCGCCCGUCGCACCUACCGAUUGAAUGGUCCGGUGAAAUCUUCGGAUCUGAGAGAUGUCUGAUUAAUUUCGGACGCCUUUUGGAAAAGUUGCUUAAACCUUACCAUUUAGAGGAAGGUGAAGUCGUANCA
Molecule: ribosomal RNA, 327 nt
Filed under: uncultured eukaryote
Lineage: Eukaryota
Description: partial 18S ribosomal RNA
Rfam family: Eukaryotic small subunit ribosomal RNA
Source: RNAcentral